RNAcentral lists this ribosomal RNA (450 nucleotides) under uncultured bacterium. RNAcentral describes it as "partial 16S ribosomal RNA". It matches the Rfam family "Bacterial small subunit ribosomal RNA", at positions 354 to 796 of the family's 1533-position model. The record is from RNAcentral.
GUGGGGAAUAUUGGACAAUGGGCGAAAGCCUGAUCCAGCCAUGCCGCGUGUGUGAAGAAGGUCUUCGGAUUGUAAAGCACUUUAAGUUGGGAGGAAGGGCAGUAAGUUAAUACCUUGCUGUUUUGACGUUACCGACAGAAUAAGCACCGGCUAACUUCGUGCCAGCAGCCGCGGUAAUACGAAGGGUGCAAGCGUUAAUCGGAAUUACUGGGCGUAAAGCGCGCGUAGGUGGUUCAGCAAGUUGGAGGUGAAAUCCCCGGGCUCAACCUGGGAACUGCCUCCAAAACUGCAUGACUAGGGUACGGUAGAGGGUAGUGGAAUUUCCUGUGUAGCGGUGAAAUGCGUAGAUAUAGGAAGGAACACCAGUGGCGAAGGCGACUACCUGGACUGAUACUGACACUGAGGUGCGAAAGCGUGGGGAGCAAACAGGAUUAGAUACCCGAGUAGUCC